This 447-nucleotide ribosomal RNA is filed under the name uncultured bacterium. RNAcentral describes it as "partial 16S ribosomal RNA". It matches the Rfam family "Bacterial small subunit ribosomal RNA", at positions 329 to 792 of the family's 1533-position model. The record is from RNAcentral.
CCCCAGACUCCUACGGGAGGCAGCAGUGGGGGAUAUUGCACAAUGGGGGGAACCCUGAUGCAGCGACGCCGCGUGGGUGAAGGAGCGUUUCGGCGCGUAAAGCCCUAUCGGCAGGGAAGAAGGAGGACGGUACCUGGCUAAGAAGCCCCGGCUAACUACGUGCCAGCAGCCGCGGUAAUACGUAGGUGGCAAGCGUUAUCCGGAUUUACUGGGUGUAAAGGGAGCGUAGACGGUAUGGCAAGUCUGAAGUGAAAGCCCAGGGCUUAACCCUGGGACUGCUUUGGAAACUGUUAGACUAGAGUGCUGGAGAGGUAAGUGGAAUUCCUAGUGUAGCGGUGAAAUGCGUAGAUAUUAGGAGGAACACCAGUGGCGAAGGCGGCUUACUGGACAGUAACUGACGUUGAGGCUCGAAAGCGUGGGGAGCAAACAGGAUUAGAUACCCCUGUA